Molecule: ribosomal RNA, 1234 nt
Filed under: metagenome
Description: bacterial LSU rRNA
Rfam family: Bacterial large subunit ribosomal RNA
Source: RNAcentral
UGAAUACGAGACGCUAAGGCGUCGAAGUAGUGUAUGUCAUACUUCCAAGAAAAGCUUGCACUGUCAUAGAUAAAAAACGCCUGUACCAUAACCGACACAGGUGGGUAGGUAGAGUAUACUAAGGGGCGCGAGAUAACUCUCUCUAAGGAACUCGGCAAAAUAACUCCGUAACUUCGGGAGAAGGAGUGCCUUAUUCUUAAGGUUGCAAUAACAAGAUCCAAGCAACUGUUUAUCAAAAACACAGGUCUCCGCUAAGUCGUAAGACGAUGUAUGGGGGCUGACGCCUGCCCAGUGCCAGAAGGUUAAAGAAGCUGGUUAGCAAUUGCGAAGCUGGUGACUGAAGCCCUGGUGAACGGCGGCCGUAACGAUAACGGUCCUAAGGUAGCGAAAUUCCUUGUCGGGUAAGUUCCGACCCGCACGAAAGGCGUAAUGAUUUGGAUACUGUCUCGGAGAGGGGCUCGGUGAAAUAGACUUGUCUGUGAAGAUGCGGACUACCUGCACCAGGACAGAAAGACCCUAUGAAGCUUUACUGUAACUUGAAAUUGAAAUUGGACUUUAUUCGCGCAGCAUAGGUGGGAGGCGUUGAUUAUAAUCUUGCGGGAUUAUUGGAGCCAUUAGUGAGAUACCACUCUUGUAAUGUUAGAUUUCUAACUUUGAAUCAUUAUCUGGUCAAAGGACAGUUUCAGGCGGGCAGUUUGACUGGGGCGGUCGCCUCCCAAACGGUAACGGAGGCGUACAAAGGUUUCCUCUGAACGGUUAGAAAUCGUAUCUAGAGUGUAAAGGCAUAAGGAAGCUUGACUGUGAGACCUACAAGUCGAGCAGGGACGAAAGUCGGUCUUAGUGAUCUGACGGUACUGAGUGGAAAGGCCGUCACUCAACGGAUAAAAGUUACUCUAGGAUAACAGGCUGAUCUCCCCCAAGAGUUCACAUCGACGGGGAGGUUUGGCACCUCGAUGUCGGCUCAUCGCAUCCUGGGGCGGUAGUACGUCCCAAGGGUUGGGCUGUUCGCCCAUGAAAGCGGUACGCGAGCUGGGUUCAGAACGUCGUGAGACAGUUCGGUCCAUAUCCGGUGUAGGCGUUAGAAUAUUGAGAGGAGCCUUCUUUAGUACGAGAGGACCGAGAAGGACAUACCUCUGGUGUACCAGUUAUCGUGCCAACGGUAAACGCUGGGUAGCUAUGUAUGGAGUGGAUAACCGCUGAAAGCAUCUAAGUGGGAAGCCCACCUCAAGAUAAG